Molecule: ribosomal RNA, 468 nt
Filed under: uncultured bacterium
Lineage: Bacteria
Description: partial 16S ribosomal RNA
Rfam family: Bacterial small subunit ribosomal RNA
Source: RNAcentral
GACGAACGCUGGCGGCGUGCUUAACACAUGCAAGUCGAACGGAAAGGCCCUGCUUUUGCGGGGUGCUCGAGUGGCGAACGGGUGAGUAACACGUGAGUAACCUGCCCUUGACUUUGGGAUAACUUCAGGAAACUGGAGCUAAUACCGGAUAGGAGCUCCUGCUGCAUGGUGGGGGUUGGAAAGUUUCGGCGGUUGGGGAUGGACUCGCGGCUUAUCAGCUUGUUGGUGGGGUAGUGGCUUACCAAGGCUUUGACGGGUAGCCGGCCUGAGAGGGUGACCGGCCACAUUGGGACUGAGAUACGGCCCAGACUCCUACGGGAGGCAGCAGUGGGGAAUAUUGCACAAUGGGCGGAAGCCUGAUGCAGCAACGCCGCGUGCGGGAUGACGGCCUUCGGGUUGUAAACCGCUUUCGCCUGUGACGAAGCGUGAGUGACGGUAAUGGGUAAAGAAGCACCGGCUAACUACGUG